AACUUCUAAGACCUUCAUCCUCAUCUUUGGAAUGCAUUAAUGCUGGGUGUUUCAUCUUUCCCCUUUGGCUUAUCUGACAAUGAGCGGGAUUUUAGCUUCCUGGUGUGCAGAACCAUCCUCGACUGCAAGUUUAAAGUUUUUCAUGCUGUAUCAUCGUCUUUUGAAACGUGCAAGCCAGCCUGCACCAGCUGAGAAGGGUUUAACAUGUUCCUGACCCUGGGUUACGUGACUGUAAAUUUCUUUGGCUUUCAGCCUCACAACAAUGCUUCCCACUAUACUUUUUUUGUUGAUCAUCAUCUCAUGAAUCCACAAAUUUAGCUGCUUUUCCAUCUUUUCCAUGGCUUCGUCACGUACUACAGAUGUUACUUUAGCGCUCUCUGGAGCAGCCUCACUCACAGACCUGCGAAUAUCUUCUUCCUUUUUCUGGAUGUAUCAUAUUGUUGACUCAUUAACAUUGAACUCACGGCCAACAGCACUAUAACUCAUGCCAGAACGGAGCUUACUUAGCACACGAAUUUUUUCUGUAAGACACAUCACAACUUUCUUACGCUUAGGAAUGCUAGGCAGCACUUUAGCACUACUCUUGGAGGCCAUUUAAAACAGCAAAAUCACCAAAUGAAGGUACAAAAAUCAAAAAAACGUUUCCUAGACUGGGUAAAGGAUAUUGUUUAUAGUGUAAAUGAUAUUGUUUAUAGAGAACUAACAAGAAAGCAGAGCAUGGCCUUCUUCAAGUCCCACUGGGACAUGCACACAAAUUGAUUAGAGUUUCUCACUGCUCUGCACUUGUCCAUAAAUGCCUGAGAAUGUGCCAUGAGUAUUUGUUUUGUGAUUACAUAUGUAUGGGU
Urocitellus parryii (Arctic ground squirrel) is the source of this 845-nucleotide non-coding RNA. The record is from RefSeq and is a predicted model, not a curated record. NCBI's taxonomy places the organism in Eukaryota, Metazoa, Chordata, Mammalia, Rodentia, Sciuridae.